Zophobas morio is the source of this 1727-nucleotide long non-coding RNA. RefSeq lists it as uncharacterized. The transcript has 2 exons. NCBI's taxonomy places the organism in Eukaryota, Metazoa, Arthropoda, Insecta, Coleoptera, Tenebrionidae. The record is from RefSeq and is a predicted model, not a curated record.
UUACUUCCCGAGCGUAAGCUAAGAAAGUAUAGUAAUCAAGUCCAUUGGCCGAAUUUCCACUUUCAUAUUUUCUCGACGUGUCAUGACCUCUAGAUUACGAAAAAAGUGGUCUCCCGUUUCCGUCUGUCUGCCUGUCUGUCUGUCUGUCUGUCUGUCUGGUGUCUGUAUCCAUUUUUAUUAGACAAGUAAUCUCCUCAACUACUGGAUCGAUUAUUGUCAAAUUUGGUAUGUAUAUUAGGAAUACCAUCUAGAUGAUGCUAACUAAAAUUUGGCUAAUCAUCCUCACCACCAAUUAGGAUGAUGUCAUCUCCAAAAUUUAUAAUAAAAACUUUUUUGAAAUUUUAUAAAAUAAGAUACUCCUGCACUUGUGGUGUGUGAAUCCGUGUCGAAUUUUCUCCCCAGACAUCCAGAAUAUUUAGAAAAAAUUCAAAACUGAAGAACAAUAUUUUGCAAUAUAGCUUUGAAACUGUAAAACCGAAUGCUCUGAAAUCUCGUAAAUAUUUUACGGUUAUCGUAAUCAUGGUAAAUCGUUAAGUCAUUUAUCCCCUCCCAAAAAAUUGAUGACGUCAUCACAAAAUUUUGCCGAGUAAAUCCUAUCCAAAAUAUACAAAACAUGAUGAGUAUAUACUUGUGAUGUAUCAUCAUUGGUCGAUAAAACGUAAAAGUAGAGAGUCCGCCGACGGGCUCGAUUACAAUACUUCGCUUACGCUCGGGAAGCAAAAAUGCUUUUCAAAAUUUUGAAAAUAUUUUUAGUAACACAAGAAAUAACAAACUUAUGAAUUAGUAGCUAAAGAAAUCAGUUAAAAUCACCAAAUACAACCCUAUCCUACAAAAAUAAAGCUAUAAUUUAUCUCCUCUGUAAUCAAAUUCGUGACUAUGAAAGAACAACAUAAAUAUCGGCACGACUGCAACCAGUAGCGUUCACUAGUUGAAAUAAAAUUACGAUGAAGAUGUUUGGAUUAGGGCGAAUAAAGCAUCGGGAAAACGAGAGAUGCCGAACGUUUUCAAGUACCAAGCGUAGCCGCCGCCGCCGUCGUCGUCGUCGUCGUCGUCGUUUCAACCCCGCGCCAGUUCCGUAAUCGACGUUGCUCUUGUUGGUGGAGUUUCUACGAGUGCUUAUGCGUGUUUGCACACACGCACUGAUUGGAACCAACGCGUUAUUAAAAUUUGUGCUUUUUUCCUACAAUAAUUCAGCUGAUAGAGUCCGAUCGUCGAGGAGCACCAGCAACUUUGUAAAAAUGCUAGCGAUAUGCACGUUCCGGAAUAUCUGGAGACAGUGCUGAUCACAGUACUUGGGAGUAUCGUCAUCAUUGUUCUACUAUUAUGUUAUGCUCGAGUAUUUCGACACAUUUGCUGUCCUCCGCGUCCACCAAAGAACAAUCAUCGACAGAAAUGUAGAAGAGAAUCUAUUUCCCUUAAAUAUAUCAUGCAUCUAUCAAACCAACCCACCGAAACAAGUGUAGUAUAAUUGGUUAAUAAUGUUAAAGAACUUUAAAUCAGAAAAUAUUUUGCACAAGGCCCAAAGAUGUUUAUAAUAAGAAGUGCUCGGCAUCGGUAAUAUAAGUGAGGUAAUAAGCUAAUAAGACUGUACGUACCAUAACCUAGCCAUAUAGCAUGUAAAUAUUAAUAUAUUGUGAAUUAUGUGUACUUUCUGUUGCAGAAAGAAACGCCGAGAUUUUAUAUGUUUUGUUAAAAUGUAGACUAAAAUAAAUAUUUUUCAGAUCUAA